Molecule: ribosomal RNA, 834 nt
Filed under: uncultured archaeon
Lineage: Archaea
Description: bacterial SSU rRNA
Rfam family: Archaeal small subunit ribosomal RNA
Source: RNAcentral
AGGCCACUGCUAUCGGAGUUCGAUUAAGCCAUGCGAGUCGUGAGGGGUAAAGCCCUCGGCGGAGUGCUCAGUAACACGUGGACAACCUACCCAAGAGUCAGGGAUAACCCCGGGAAACUGGGGAUAAUACCUGAUAGGCCAUGACAUCUGGAAUCGAGUUGUGGUUUAAACGUAAGGCUCUUGGAUGGGUCCGCGGCGGAUUAGGUUGUUGCCGGUGUAACGUACCAGCAAGCCUGUAAUCCGUACGGGUUGUGGGAGCAAGAGCCCGGAGAUGGAUUCUGAGACACGAAUCCAGGCCCUACGGGGCGCAGCAGGCGCGAAAACUCUACAAUGCAGGCAACUGCGAUAGGGGAACAUCGAGUGGCAUCCACCAUGGAUGUCUGUCCAAUCGUCUAAAAAACGAUUGUCAGCAAGGGCCGGGCAAGACCGGUGCCAGCCGCCGCGGUAAUACCGGCGGCUCGAGUGGUGGCCGAUAUUAUUGAGUCUAAAGGGUCCGUAGCCGGCUUUGCAAGUCCUAUGGGAAAUCCAGCGGCUUAACCGUUGGGCUUUCAUGGGAUACUACAUUGCUUGGGACUGGGAGAGGUAGGAGGUACUCAGGGGGUAGGGGUGAAAUCCUGUAAUCCUUUGGGGACCACCGGUGGCGAAGGCGUCCUACCAGAACAGGUCCGACGGUGAGGGACGAAAGCUAGGGGCACGAACCGGAUUAGAUACCCGGGUAGUCCUAGCCGUAAACGAUGCUCGCUAGGUGUCACGGCAGUCGUGAAUUGUCGUGGUGCCGUAGGGAAGCCGUGAAGCGAGCCACUUGGGAAGUACGACCGCAAGGUUGAAACUUAA